ACCUAUUCAUCUGCUCUCCCGAACACAAGUUCAAGAUCAUCACAGGAUCCAAACACAACAACACAGGGAGUGAGUUAUCACAUUCCUAACUAAUAGAGAAACAAGACAAUUAAAUAUACAUAUUAUAUAAAUGAGAUACCACUUGCUUAAACAUAGCUCACGUAACUUCACCACUUCGUCAUUCAAAAUUCACUUUUCAAUUAUCAAUCACAUUACACAAGAAUCCCACACUUCGAUCAAGAUAUAAUAACACAUCAAUUAGCAAGCAUAUGCAAUAGUUAUGCUAAGACUCAAUUCUAUAUGCAAUGUGGUACCAUGUCAGUGAAAAACCACCCUGGGGCGCUUAGGAGUACAUAACAAGACACACCACACAAUGGGUUUGUCAGGUCACUCUCACUAAGUAAGAUCAUAGGGAGACCAGUCAGGGUCACGAUGUUUUGCGAGAAUGCUCCAACCAUAUGAGAUCAGCAUAGGCUUAAAGGAGCACUCAAACCCGGUGACCCCCAAGGCCUACACUCCGAAGAGUCCGUCAGGGCCUCUCCCUCCUGAUUCAGGUCCAACCCCUAAAAUAAUUUUUUUUACAUGCAGACACUGCUCAUGAAUUAUACAAUACUCACGACCUUACACUCGUGUUUUAAACACGUUCAACACAAUUGCGCUACGAUUUAACACUGGUUCCUAAAUAGGAAACCUACAUUUUCUCUUUAACACUGCGCAUCAACGCUUUUCUCAAGAUAACGCUGGUCGGGUAUUGUACAAUUCAUGGCUUACAACACAAGUAAUUUCACAUCAAGUGUUAACUACACACUUAUCCACAACUAUAACUCAUUCACAAUUUCACAUCUCAUAGUGUCACAAUCCACCAUCACAUGUUUACACGUAUCUCACAAAUUAACACAUGUUCAACUUUACACUUAUACUCAAUCUCAAUAACAAUAUUAUAAUCUCAAAGCAACAUGUUAUUCUACAAUUCAUCACAUACUCACAAUUUGAAUUAUCAUUUCAUAUCCUCAAUAUAACAAUUUAUAUAAAAGACUAUCACAACAUGAGGACUAAAACCCCUCAAAUAAUAUUACACAAUUAUAUCUAAAUCAUAGGUCCAAAUAUACAAAUAUCAAGAGCACAAUUUAUCAAGCAAUUUUCAUCAGGACAUCAAUAUUUUAUUCAUAAAGGAAAAAUUGCAAUUUAACAAACAUCCCAAAAUAAAAUCCCAAUUUAAUCCUCUAAGGAUCCCUACACAUGUUCUCACUAAUCCCCAACUGUGAAUAACUCAUCCCUUACCUCUAAGCGGGCUCACGUGUCUUCAGCCAGCGAUAGCAACAUCUCUAGCGGUUCCCGGAAAUUCUUUCAAUUAUUCAUCCGACUGCUCCGAUAGAAUUCCCAAACGUCAGAGAGACGGAGAAGAGAUUGAAACCUCCACUUGUACUGUCUUCAUACGAUUCCUUUUUCUCCCUCCACGAAUAUUAUCUCGCAAAUCCCAACGGUGGAAGCGUGCGGAAUUGAAUUUCGAACAACAUAUCCAAAUUUCACAAUAAUCCAACGGUUAACGAAACCGGGAUCGUAGUUUUACCAAGACAGCUCUGGGUUUCUGCGGGAAAGAAAAAGGCUACAAUGCGAAGGGUUUUUCUCUCAGUUCAGACAUGAUAUCGAAAUUCCCAACGGUGAGAAUGCUCGAAAUUGUGUUGCGAACAUGAUACUCAAAUUUCACGACGAUCCAACGGUGAACGGUUUCGAGAUCGUCGUUUUUCUGAGACUGGUUUGGUGGGCUGCGGGAAAAAGAAAGAGUUUUGAGAGAAGGGGAAAAACGAAA
This 1810-nucleotide long non-coding RNA is filed under the name Glycine max (soybean). Its description in RNAcentral is "long non-coding RNA (GMAX_LNC004213)". Lineage: Eukaryota; Viridiplantae; Streptophyta; Magnoliopsida; Fabales; Fabaceae. The record is from RNAcentral.